Long non-coding RNA from Dendronephthya gigantea, 865 nucleotides. RefSeq lists it as uncharacterized. The transcript has 4 exons. NCBI's taxonomy places the organism in Eukaryota, Metazoa, Cnidaria, Anthozoa, Malacalcyonacea, Nephtheidae. The record is from RefSeq and is a predicted model, not a curated record.
CCUUUUGUUAAUAUUAAAAGUAGUCUUUUAUAGUCAAGUGUAUUCAACACCGAAUUACGAAUGUUUAUUGAGAUUUGAGAAUGAACGCUAUAAAAGUCGCACGCUGGAGCCGGAUCGGAACAUUCAAGUAUUGUCAAAAAAACAAAAGAACGGUAACUCCGAAAAGCAUUUUGUAUAAUACUGACGACGACUAAAGUGCAGUCGAAACGUGGAUUCAUUAAAGCUACAAAAUGUAUUUUCGGAGUUACUGCUCUUUUGAAUUUUAUAAACAUGCUCAGUGGUUCGUGUACUUAUAUAUUUUCAUGUUCCAUGUAUUUUGCGGUGUUCAACAUUUAAAUGAGCUGCCAAAUUCCAAUAUCACAGUUAGUUUACUGUUCCAGAAUGUAAUGAUAGUAAUGUACAUUUGAAGUUCCAAAAACUGCGAUAUUUGGCAUCCUUUUAUUCUAGCUUUUGUAUUUUUUUAGGGUUGGGGAUAAAAACAACUCCCGUAGGAAUAGCGCGAAUCGAUUACAGGGCCAAGCAUGUCAAUGGAAGACAUAAGGAAACUGGACAUCGAGGCUUAUGAUAUACUUCAAGAUGCCAGUGUUAAUGAAGAUAUGUUAAUGGAUUUCAGUCGGGAUGAUCUAAAAGACUUGUUUGCCGGUGCAGAUAAAUUUUUGUUGAGAAAAAAGAUUUGGAAUAUUAUUGAGAAAGCUAGAGGAUGUAAAGAAAAAAUGUUAGAGUCUCCUAACUCUGCAAAAGUAAAGAUUAAUCAAACCCCAGUGGUAAAUCCUCAAACUCCUCCUGUACAAAAACAUUUGGGAAUUUCGCAGUCACAACUAUUGCGUUCACCUUCUUCCUGGUUGGAGAGUCCCCCUAGCCCUGC